Molecule: ribosomal RNA, 226 nt
Filed under: uncultured eukaryote
Lineage: Eukaryota
Description: partial 18S ribosomal RNA
Source: RNAcentral
UGGUAAAGUGAUUUGUCUGUGUUAAUUCCGAUAACGAACGAGACCUUGACUUACAUGUUUAAAUCUGCAUGAUACUAAUUUCCUACUUAUGUGAUCCCUAGCAUGCGCGCUCCUUGUUUUUUAUAGGACGCCUUGCUCUGUUGUUCAUUGGAAACUCAUGUAUGUGCAUUUCGUAUCUACUUAAGCCUAGGAUGUAUGUCCUUACUUAAUUACGGAUUGUAUUUAA